UGAAUAACAACAACGGAUGCCCCAUAAGCAGCCUAUCAGGAAACGUCAGCCAGCUGGAAAAUACUUGAUGCAAAUGCCCCUGCACUCCAAAAGCUGCUCCGGGACCACUGCCCUUCAGCAAGCCUAAUCCAAGGGGGAACACACAGCGAGGAAAGGGGACUGCAGCUCAGGAGCAAAGCUGUGAUGGAUGGGAUCAGCCUGGAGCAAACAGAACAGCGAGAGCCAUGCUGCCUGUACAAGGCUGGAUCCCUCUCCCCACCAAUUGUGUUGAGAACUAGAAGUCUAUCACCUCAGCCUAAUGGAGCAUCAUCAGCUCACCUCAAUGAGGCACUUAAUCGAAAGAGCAUUUAUACCACUUGGAUUGCCAGCCGCACUUUAUGACAGCUCUUUGCACAAGAGAUGUCAUUGUGCAUUUACUUCUUUGUUAGACUAGAUUGGAGUUAUCAGCGGUUGAGUAAACCCUGCCAUUCGCAGGAACACCCUGCAUACGUUUGCAGGACAGAAAGGAACAGAAGAGGAAAAAGGACAGAGCUGAUAGAGGCAGGCGUGACUUGAACAACAAGGAGGAAAACAACAAAGCACGACAAGAUUUUGAGCCAUACCGUCAGCUGAUGUCAAUGCCCAGGAUGCGAAAAAUAAGUAAUUGACAGCAGUUAGCAUGCAGGACAGACCACAGUUCUGAACGCAGUGAGAUUUUCUGUGUAGCUCUCUGAUUUCAGUCCUUGUUCCUGCCCGUCGCUCAGGUAACAAGCUGUGGCUGACAGCCUUGCAGUGACCCCCUCGGUUUCUGGGGCUGCGGUGGCAGUGUCCCAUCUUCCUGCAGCAGCACAGGGCCAUGCUGACCCACAGCAUCCUCCGAAACACCCCGACGCAACACAGGCUGCCACCCGAAUUCAACUGUAAAUACUUUAUUU
This 914-nucleotide long non-coding RNA is filed under the name Gallus gallus (chicken). RNAcentral describes it as "long non-coding RNA NONGGAT005159". Lineage: Eukaryota; Metazoa; Chordata; Aves; Galliformes; Phasianidae. The record is from RNAcentral.